RNAcentral lists this ribosomal RNA (354 nucleotides) under Triticum aestivum (bread wheat). RNAcentral's name for it is "partial small subunit ribosomal RNA". The record is from RNAcentral. Lineage: Eukaryota; Viridiplantae; Streptophyta; Magnoliopsida; Poales; Poaceae.
AUGUUCAAUUGCCACAUCAACAUUGAGGUCUGCUCUAGCAUAAAGGCCGUCAAAUAUCUUUACAAGUACAUUUACAAGGGCCAUGAUAAGGCUUCUUUCAGCAUCGACCAGCCCGAUGCCGAUGGUAACAUCAAUGAGAUCAAGAGAUACGUUGACGCAAGGAGCGAGGCAAGAGAGGUCAUCGAGGAAUCAACCGUUGAGUUUGACGUGGAUGACACUAAAUUGGCAUCUUCCCUGAACUUGGAGCAGAGGGCCGCAUACGACGAGAUACUAGCGGCUGUUGAACGCGGUGAUGGGGGUGUAUUCUUUGUUGAUGGCCCUGGAGGUACAGGAAAGACCUUCCUAUACAGGGCG